AUGAAGAUCAAAACUGGAUUUGUUUAUUGUUUAUGCUUCGAGAGGAAUUACAGCUGUGGACCAGUAGAUGAAUUGCCAUGGAGGCUUGGCAGAAACAGCGGUUCCCUUGGCAGUGGCUGCGAGGGGUGUGGCUUGCUGAAGAAAUGGGCUUUUUUUGUAGCUCCAGGUAUACAGGCUCAUAAGCAAGAUGAUUUUCAUUUAUUUAUUUUUGGUUUGAUGCUUCAUUCGCCCCCCAAGCCAACUAAUACAUAUGAACAAAAGGAGUAUAGAACCAAAUUAUAUGAUGUAAUUGACUACUAUUUCUAUUAA
This 309-nucleotide ribosomal RNA is filed under the name Triticum aestivum (bread wheat). RNAcentral's name for it is "partial small subunit ribosomal RNA". The record is from RNAcentral. Lineage: Eukaryota; Viridiplantae; Streptophyta; Magnoliopsida; Poales; Poaceae.